UAUUUUCUUCCGUUUAAAUUUCAAAUCCUCUCUCUCUCUAGAUCUCUCUCUCAAGAUCUUUCUCUCUCGCUCUCUCUGCGUUCUCUCUCUCGCUCUCUCUGCGCGUUCGAAUUUGAACCAGAACUAGAAUUCAGUGCUCCAACAGUCUCCGGUUGAAUUGAAUUACAGAAUACUCGAAAUCGAUUCCUCUUCAGUUGCUCUUGUUUGGGGACGAAGACGGCGAUUGAGGAGACGUCGACGAGCUGCUCUCCUCGGCGAGCGAGCGAAAUUGGCUUCCAGGGUUUUUGCUGCUGCAUUUGUUUUGUUUUGAAUUGCAUUGAAUUGAAAUCGCGUUUAACAAUGGAGUUUGUUAGGCGUCUGCCCUGCUGCACUGCAGGGUCAGAUAGAGAGGCAGUGAGAGAAAAGAUGAUGAUGAUCUUUUGAGAUUCAAUUUGGAAGCCUUGAUGGGAGAGUUUGAUCUCCUGUCUGAUCCUGCUGCUGCUGCUGCGGCCUCUGUUGCAGAUGAG
Molecule: small RNA, 506 nt
Filed under: Malus domestica (apple)
Lineage: Eukaryota; Viridiplantae; Streptophyta; Magnoliopsida; Rosales; Rosaceae
Description: sRNA MD04G0006600
Source: RNAcentral